UAUAUAUAUAUAUAUAUAUAUAUAUUUAAUUGUUAAUUAUUGAAUAAUAUUAUAAUUGAUAAAUUGAGAGAAUAAAAAGGAAUAGAAUAGAAAAAUUUUAACUAUCAGCUAUAAUGCAACCAGAUCAAUUCUAAGCAUUCACGUACUUUGAAACACACAAAAAAAAAAAAACCAAGAAGAAACAAAAGAGAAGAAAAACAAAAUGUUUAAAAAGUUUGACCACCUUAAUACGGCGUUUAAUUGAAAAUAUUAAUUAUGGUCACCUUCAGAAUCUUCAAAACAAUUUUAAGGUAAGAAUUAAAAAAUAUUGAUAGAAUUCACCAACGUAUUUUAAAUUUUUAUUCCAUUCUGUUCUUACAAAGCAUUUAAUACUACACAAAGAAUACAUUUUGAGACAGCGAACUUUGCUU
This is a long non-coding RNA of Condylostylus longicornis, 410 nucleotides long. RefSeq lists it as uncharacterized. NCBI's taxonomy places the organism in Eukaryota, Metazoa, Arthropoda, Insecta, Diptera, Dolichopodidae. The record is from RefSeq and is a predicted model, not a curated record. The transcript is spliced from 4 exons.